GGCUAAGCGCAGGGAGGCUGGAGUGGAGUGGAGUGGAGUGGAGUGGAGUGGAGUGGAGUGGAGUGGAGUGUCUGAUCACAGCGCCUGCCGCAGGUCCCCCGGGCACUGGGUCUGCAGCCAGCUGCUGCAGGGAAAAGCUCCUGUCUCGCCAGCCUUUCCAGCCCCAGCCAACGCUUCCCCUUGCGGUCUGCUUCCCCGGAGAUCUUCCCACUCCCUCGGGGGCUUGCCCCUUGAAACAGCAGAGCGUGUCCAUGCAACAAUGCAACCCGAACUGGACCGGCAAUUCUGAAAAAUUCGAGGCCAAAUCCUGCUUAUAUUACCCAUGUAAAUGAGGCUGCCCUUGGGACUGAGAUUUUGGAUAGGACCCGAUCUGCAAGAUGGCUUCUGAGCACGCCUUUCUCGGGGGAGAAAGGCGCUCCUCUGCCUGUCUUCCUCCCGGUUUGUGGAUCGCUCUGGCUCUUAGGCAGGAGAUAGGCAUCCAGACGCCUAGAGGGAAGCAGCAGUGUGCAUGCCCAGAAGCAGAAACGUAGGCACAGAGGGAAUGUUUACCCUGAAAACGUAGGCAUGAGCACCAGCAACGGGGCGAGGAGAGACACAACUAGCCACCGUCCGCCGAGAGCACAAAAUAUGCUGCAUGCUGCGACUGCGGAGUGCAGCCAACAAUUACACACACCCUGUGAAUGGUGCAAGCCAAUUAAUAGGAUGAUGAAUCAUGCAAAAUGCAUAGUUACCAUAAUGAUGAAUUGUCAUGUGGCCCUAAUGACCAAUCAGUUAAUUUUAUUUUGAAAGUUGAUUAAACCAACAAUGUGGCUUUGUGCAUUGUUUAAAUGGAGUGAUUCAAUAUCUGUCUUGGUUCUCCCUCCCACAAGUAGUAUUGCUGGAGAAAUGUAUGAAAUGGAGCUUCUGCUAUCUGUCUGAGGUUUUACUCUAGUACUCAUCACCCCAGGAUCGAAGCACUGAUCAAAUUUAGAUCAGGGUAGUGUUGUCCAUAGAAGAUUUUGCUCUUUGCCCCCUUCAGGUUUUAGGAAGUUCUGCUUGGUUUUUGUCCCUCUCACCCCACCCCCAUCAUCUUCUGUUAUAGUUGGAAGCAUUUGGUAAACAGGUGGGUCUUGCUUCAUGUUCUGAAGAUGGCUAGGGUUUGGCUUAGUCUUAUCUUCUUCAGAAGUUCAUUCCACAGUUCAGAACC
Molecule: long non-coding RNA, 1186 nt
Organism: Chelonia mydas (Green sea turtle)
Lineage: Eukaryota; Metazoa; Chordata; Testudines; Cheloniidae
Exons: 4
Source: RefSeq, a predicted model, not a curated record